GACCCCGCGGCGUAUUAGCUAGUUAGUGAGGCAAUGGCUCACCAGGGCAAUGAUACGUAGCCGACCUGAGAGGGUGAUCGGCCACACUGGGACUGAGACACGGCCCAGACUCCUACGGGAGGCAGCAGUAGGGAAUCUUCCGCAAUGGACGAAAGUCUGACGGAGCAACGCCGCGUGAGUGAAGAAGGUUUUCGGAUCGUAAAACUCUGUUGUUAAAGAAGAACAAGGAUGAGAGUAACUGCUCAUCCCCUGACGGUAUUUAACCAGAAAGCCACGGCUAACUACGUGCCAGCAGCCGCGGUAAUACGUAGGUGGCAAGCGUUGUCCGGAUUUAUUGGGCGUAAAGCGAGCGCAGGCGGUUCUUUAAGUCUGAUGUGAAAGCCCCCGGCUCAACCGGGGAGGGUCAUUGGAAACUGGAGAACUUGAGUGCAGAAGAGGAGAGUGGAAUUCCACGUGUAGCGGUGAAAUGCGUAGAUAUGUGGAGGAACACCAGUGGCGAAGGCGACUCUCUGGUCUGUAACUGACGCUAAAGCUCGAAAGCGUGGGGAGCAAACAGG
RNAcentral lists this ribosomal RNA (557 nucleotides) under uncultured Vagococcus sp. Its description in RNAcentral is "bacterial SSU rRNA". It matches the Rfam family "Bacterial small subunit ribosomal RNA", at positions 227 to 776 of the family's 1533-position model. Lineage: Bacteria; Bacillati; Bacillota; Bacilli; Lactobacillales; Enterococcaceae. The record is from RNAcentral.